RNAcentral lists this transfer RNA (62 nucleotides) under Discolomatidae sp. 4 ACP-2013. RNAcentral describes it as "tRNA-Ile". Lineage: Eukaryota; Metazoa; Arthropoda; Insecta; Coleoptera; Discolomatidae. The record is from RNAcentral.
AAUGAAGUGCCUGAUAAAAGGAUUAUUUUGAUAGAAUAAAUUAUGUUUUUUAACCUUCAUUA